GGGGCCGACCGGCUUUGACAGCGGGUUGGAGUUUCAAGCAAGCAUGUCGUGCCAUGGAAAAAUGCACGUUAAUCAGCUUUCCAAACUAUAAAUGGCGAAAAUAACUACGCUCUCGCUGCUUAAUUCACAGAAGUGAAUUUCGCUUAAUCCCGCACCAGGUGUGGGACGAGGACACUUCUCUCCUGCUCCGCCCGUUAGUGGGAGAUCCAGAGGUGCCGAGCUUUCGGGAUAAGCGGUCCGGCGUUUCGGAGGAUCGACGAAAAACUUUAGAAACUAAGCGCAAAAUUGGAGGUUGCAUUCCGGCUUUGCGACGAAAAUCAAUUUGCAAAUAAACAUGUAGAAACCUUGCGGCUUCCCUGAUUGGACGAGGGUUCGACUCCCUCCGGCUCCACCC
This 394-nucleotide transfer-messenger RNA is filed under the name Flavobacteriales. RNAcentral describes it as "UBA2798 sp019694795 Standard tmRNA". It matches the Rfam family "transfer-messenger RNA". Rfam says of the family: Bacterial tmRNA, also known as 10Sa RNA or SsrA, is named for its dual tRNA and mRNA-like properties. Its role is to liberate the mRNA from a stalled ribosome. To accomplish this part of the tmRNA is used as a reading frame that ends in a translation stop signal. Lineage: Bacteria; Pseudomonadati; Bacteroidota; Flavobacteriia. The record is from RNAcentral. RNAcentral also lists the same sequence under 1 other name.